RNAcentral lists this ribosomal RNA (497 nucleotides) under uncultured bacterium. Its description in RNAcentral is "partial 16S ribosomal RNA". It matches the Rfam family "Bacterial small subunit ribosomal RNA", at positions 28 to 507 of the family's 1533-position model. The record is from RNAcentral.
GAUGAACGCUGGCGGCGUGCCUAAUACAUGCAAGUCGAGCGAACAGACGAGGAGCUUGCUCCUCUGACGUUAGCGGCGGACGGGUGAGUAACACGUGGAUAACCUACCUAUAAGACUGGGAUAACUUCGGGAAACCGGAGCUAAUACCGGAUAAUAUAUUGAACCGCAUGGUUCAAUAGUGAAAUACGGUUUUGCUGUCACUUAUAGAUGGAUCCGCGCCGCAUUAUCUAGUUGGUAAGGUAACGGCUUACCAAGGCAACGAUGCGUAGCCGACCUGAGAGGGUGAUCGGCCACACUGGAACUGAGACACGGUCCAGACUCCUACGGGAGGCAGCAGUAGGGAAUCUUCCGCAAUGGGCGAAAGCCUGACGGAGCAACGCCGCGUGAGUGAUGAAGGUCUUCGGAUCGUAAAACUCUGUUAUUAGGGAAGAACAAAUGUGUAAGUAACUAUGCACGUCUUGACGGUACCUAAUCAGAAAGCCACGGCUAACUACGUG